Molecule: non-coding RNA, 102 nt
Organism: Acanthosepion pharaonis
Lineage: Eukaryota; Metazoa; Mollusca; Cephalopoda; Sepiida; Sepiidae
Source: the annotation of a GenBank genome assembly
UCUCAUUGAAACACCGGUUUUCGUACAAUCAUCGUAGUUAAGCAACGUCGAGCCUGGUCAGUAUCGAGCUCGGUGACCGCUUGGGAAUACCAGGUGCUGUAA